UACGAAGGGGGCGAGCGUUGUUCGGAUUUACUUGGGCGUAAAGGGCGCGCAGGCGGCUCAUUUUGUCAGGCGUGAAAGCCCCGGGCUUAACCUGGGAACUGCGUUUGAUACGGAUGGGCUAGAGUUCGGGAGAGGAGAGUGGAAUUCCCAGUGUAGAGGUGAAAUUCGUAGAUAUUGGGAAGAACACCGGUGGCGAAGGCGGCUCUCUGGACCGAGACUGACGCAUGAGGCGGCGAAAAGCGUGGGGAGCAAACAGG
This 257-nucleotide ribosomal RNA is filed under the name uncultured bacterium. RNAcentral's name for it is "partial 16S ribosomal RNA". It matches the Rfam family "Bacterial small subunit ribosomal RNA", at positions 524 to 776 of the family's 1533-position model. The record is from RNAcentral.